RNAcentral lists this ribosomal RNA (492 nucleotides) under uncultured bacterium. RNAcentral's name for it is "bacterial SSU rRNA". It matches the Rfam family "Bacterial small subunit ribosomal RNA", at positions 348 to 834 of the family's 1533-position model. The record is from RNAcentral.
GCAGCAGUGAGGAAUAUUGGUCAAUGGACGCAAGUCUGAACCAGCCACGUCGCGUGAAGGAAGACGGCCCUACGGGUUGUAAACUUCUUUUGUAAGGGAAUAAAGUGAGUCACGUGUGAUGUUUUGCAUGUACCUUACGAAUAAGGAUCGGCUAACUCCGUGCCAGCAGCCGCGGUAAUACGGAGGAUCCGAGCGUUAUCCGGAUUUAUUGGGUUUAAAGGGUGCGCAGGCGGGAGAUUAAGUCGGCGGUGAAAUUUUGCAGCUCAACUGUAAAAGUGCCUUCGAAACUGGUUUUCUUGAGUGUGGAUGAAGUAGGCGGAAUUUGUGGUGUAGCGGUGAAAUGCAUAGAUAUCACGAGGAACUCCGAUUGCGCAGGCAGCUUACUAAACCAUAACUGACGCUCAGGCACGAAGGCGUGGGGAUCAAACAGGAUUAGAUACCCCUGGUAGUCCACCGCAGUAAAACGAUGAUUACCUAGGCUGUUUGCGAUAC